GGGUGAGUAACACGUGAGCAAUCUGCCCGGAAGCCCGGAAUAGCCCUCCGAAAGGAGGAUUAAUGCCGGAUGUGGCCAACCCGCGAUUGCGGGUGACGCUAAAGAUUUAUCGCUUCUGAGAGGAGCUCGCGGCCCAUCAGCUUGUUGGUGAGGGUAACGGCCCACCAAGGCGGUGACGGGUAGCUGGUCUGAGAGGAUGGUCAGCCACACUGGAACUGAGACACGGUCCAGACACCUACGGGUGGCAGCAGUCGAGAAUCAUUCGCAAUGGGGGCAACCCUGACGAUGCGACGCCGCGUGAAGGAUGAAGGCCCUAGGGUUGUAAACUUCUGUCAAGAGGGAAUAAGCAAGUGAAGGUACCUCUAGAGGAAGGGGCGGCUAAUUCCGUGCCAGCAGCCGCGGUAACACGGAAGCCCCGAGCGUUGUUCGGAUUUAUUGGGCGUAAAGGGUGCGUAGGCGGCGCGGAAAGUCUGGUGUGAAAGGCAGGGGCUCAACCCCUGGACUGCACUGGAUACUCCCGUGCUUGAGGACUGGAGGGGAGACUGGAAUUCACGGUGUAGCAGUGAAAUGCGUAGAUAUCGUGAGGAAGACCGGUGGCGAAGGCGAGUCUCUGGACAGUUCCUGACGCUGAGGCACGAAGGCUGGGGUAGCGAACAGGAUUAGAUACCCUGGUAGUCCCAGCAGUAAACGAUGUGAGCUUGAUGUGGGGGGAUUCGACCCCUUCCGUGUCGAAGUUAACGCGAUAAGCUCACCGCCUGAGGAGUACGAUCGCAGGAUUAAAACUCAAAGAAAUUGACGGGGACCCGCACAAGCGGUGGAGUAUGUGGCUUAAUUCGAUGCGACGCGAAGAACCUUACCUGGCCUUGACAUGCAUUGUGUCGUCGGUGAAAGCCGGCUAGUCCUGGAAACAGGACGCUUUGCACAGGUGCUGCAUGGCUGUCGUCAGCUCGUGUCGUGAGAUGUUGGGUUAAGU
Molecule: ribosomal RNA, 973 nt
Filed under: uncultured organism
Description: bacterial SSU rRNA
Rfam family: Bacterial small subunit ribosomal RNA
Source: RNAcentral